CGUAAGGCGCCGAAUGAGUCAUUAAAAAAUUAACAUCAUCCGAUCCCUAGUCGGCAUAGUUUAUGGUUAAGACUACGACGGUAUCUGAUCGUCUUCGAUCCCCCUAACUUUCGUUCUUGAUUAAUGAAAACAUCCUUGGCAAAUGCUUUCGCAGUAGUUUAGUCUUCAAUAAAUCCAAGAAUUUCACCUCUGACAAUUGAAUACUAAUGCCCCCAACUAUCCCUAUUAAUCAUUACGUCGAUCCUAGAAACCAACAAAAUAGAAUCAAACGUCCUAUUUCGUUAUUCCAUGCUAAUGUAUUCAAGCGUGAGCCUGCUUUAAACACUCUAAUUUUUUCAAAGUAACAGUCCUGAUUCCCCAUGACACCAAAUUAAUGACAUCAUGGUUCGUCAGAAGGUAGGAAUCAAUAAUACCAGUACGUACAAUAGCACGACCAAUAAAUUAAUCCGAAAUUCAACUACGAGCUUUUAACUGUCAACAACUUUAAUAUACGCUAUUGAGCUGGAAUUACCG
Molecule: ribosomal RNA, 513 nt
Filed under: uncultured Glomus
Lineage: Eukaryota; Fungi; Glomeromycota; Glomeromycetes; Glomerales; Glomeraceae
Description: partial 18S ribosomal RNA
Source: RNAcentral